This 1778-nucleotide ribosomal RNA is filed under the name human gut metagenome. RNAcentral describes it as "bacterial LSU rRNA". It matches the Rfam family "Bacterial large subunit ribosomal RNA", at positions 175 to 1977 of the family's 2925-position model. The record is from RNAcentral.
UGAGGCGAACCGGGGGAACUGAAACAUCUAAGUACCCCGAGGAAAAGAAAUCAACCGAGAUUCCCCCAGUAGCGGCGAGCGAACGGGGAGGAGCCCAGAGCCUGAAUCAGUGUGUGUGUUAGUGGAAGCGUCUGGAAAGGCGUGCGAUACAGGGUGACAGCCCCGUACACAAAAAUGCACAUAUUGUGAGCUCGAUGAGUAGGGCGGGACACGUGGUAUCCUGUCUGAAUAUGGGGGGACCAUCCUCCAAGGCUAAAUACUCCUGACUGACCGAUAGUGAACCAGUACCGUGAGGGAAAGGCGAAAAGAACCCCGGCGAGGGGAGUGAAAAAGAACCUGAAACCGUGUACGUACAAGCAGUGGGAGCCUCUUAAUGGGGUGACUGCGUACCUUUUGUAUAAUGGGUCAGCGACUUAUAUUCUGUAGCAAGGUUAACCGAAUAGGGGAGCCGAAGGGAAACCGAGUCUUAACUGGGCGUUAAGUUGCAGGGUAUAGACCCGAAACCCGGUGAUCUAGCCAUGGGCAGGUUGAAGGUUGGGUAACACUAACUGGAGGACCGAACCGACUAAUGUUGAAAAAUUAGCGGAUGACUUGUGGCUGGGGGUGAAAGGCCAAUCAAACCGGGAGAUAGCUGGUUCUCCCCGAAAGCUAUUUAGGUAGCGCCUCGUGAAUUCAUCUCCGGGGGUAGAGCACUGUUUCGGCAAGGGGGUCAUCCCGACUUACCAACCCGAUGCAAACUGCGAAUACCGGAGAAUGUUAUCACGGGAGACACACGGCGGGUGCUAACGUCCGUCGUGAAGAGGGAAACAACCCAGACCGCCAGCUAAGGUCCCAAAGUCAUGGUUAAGUGGGAAACGAUGUGGGAAGGCCCAGACAGCCAGGAUGUUGGCUUAGAAGCAGCCAUCAUUUAAAGAAAGCGUAAUAGCUCACUGGUCGAGUCGGCCUGCGCGGAAGAUGUAACGGGGCUAAACCAUGCACCGAAGCUGCGGCAGCGACACUAUGUGUUGUUGGGUAGGGGAGCGUUCUGUAAGCCUGUGAAGGUGGCCUGUGAGGGUUGCUGGAGGUAUCAGAAGUGCGAAUGCUGACAUAAGUAACGAUAAAGCGGGUGAAAAGCCCGCUCGCCGGAAGACCAAGGGUUCCUGUCCAACGUUAAUCGGGGCAGGGUGAGUCGACCCCUAAGGCGAGGCCGAAAGGCGUAGUCGAUGGGAAACAGGUUAAUAUUCCUGUACUUGGUGUUACUGCGAAGGGGGGACGGAGAAGGCUAUGUUGGCCGGGCGACGGUUGUCCCGGUUUAAGCGUGUAGGCUGGUUUUCCAGGCAAAUCCGGAAAACCAAGGCUGAGGCGUGAUGACGAGGCACUACGGUGCUGAAGCGACAAAUGCCCUGCUUCCAGGAAAAGCCUCUAAGCAUCAGGUAACAUCAAAUCGUACCCCAAACCGACACAGGUGGUCAGGUAGAGAAUACCAAGGCGCUUGAGAGAACUCGGGUGAAGGAACUAGGCAAAAUGGUGCCGUAACUUCGGGAGAAGGCACGCUGAUAUGUAGGUGAAGCGACUUGCUCGUGGAGCUGAAAUCAGUCGAAGAUACCAGCUGGCUGCAACUGUUUAUUAAAAACACAGCACUGUGCAAACACGAAAGUGGACGUAUACGGUGUGACGCCUGCCCGGUGCCGGAAGGUUAAUUGAUGGGGUUAGCGGUAACGCGAAGCUCUUGAUCGAAGCCCCGGUAAACGGCGGCCGUAACUAUAACGGUCCUAAGGUAGCGAAAUUCCUUGUCGGGU